CCUACGGGAGGCAGCAGUGGGGAAUAUUGCACAAUGGGGGAAACCCUGAUGCAGCGACGCCGCGUGAGUGAAGAAGUAAUUCUUUAUGUAAAGCUCUAUCAGCAGGGAAGAAAAUGACGGUACCUGAGUAAGAAGCCGCGGCUAACUACGUGCCAGCAGCCGUGGCAAUAUGUAGGGGGCAAGCGUUAUCCGGAUUUUAUGGGUGUAAAGGGAGCGUAGAGGGGAAUGCAAGUCUGGAGUGAAAGGCGGGGGCUCAACCCCCGGACUGCUCUGGAAACUGUACGGCUGGAGUGCAGGAGAGGUAAGUGGAAUUCGUGGUGUAGCGGUGAAAUGCGUAGAUAUUAGGAGGAACGCCGGUGGCGAAGGCGGCUUACUGGACUGUAACUGACGUUGAGGCUCGAAAGCGUGGGGAGCAAACAGGAUUAGAUACCCUAGUAGUC
RNAcentral lists this ribosomal RNA (440 nucleotides) under uncultured bacterium. Its description in RNAcentral is "partial 16S ribosomal RNA". It matches the Rfam family "Bacterial small subunit ribosomal RNA", at positions 338 to 795 of the family's 1533-position model. The record is from RNAcentral.